This 528-nucleotide ribosomal RNA is filed under the name uncultured bacterium. RNAcentral's name for it is "bacterial SSU rRNA". It matches the Rfam family "Bacterial small subunit ribosomal RNA", at positions 980 to 1509 of the family's 1533-position model. The record is from RNAcentral.
CUUGACAUCCAGAGAACUUGGCAGAGAUGCCUUGGUGCCUUCGGGACCUCUGAGACAGGUGCUGCAUGGCUGUCGUCAGCUCGUGUUGUGAAAUGUUGGGUUAAGUCCGCAACGAGCGCAACCCCUAUCCUUUGUUGCCAGCGAUUCGGUCGGGAACUCAAAGGAGACUGCCGGUGAUAAACCGGAGGAAGGUGGGGAUGACGUCAAGUCAUCAUGGCCCUUACGAGUAGGGCUACACACGUGCUACAAUGGCGCAUACAAAGAGAAGCGACCUCGCGAGAGCAAGCGGACCUCAUAAAGUGCGUCGUAGUCCGGAUCGGAGUCUACAACUCGACUCCGUGAAGUCGGAAUCGCUAGUAAUCGUAGAUCAGAAUGCUACGGUGAAUACGUUCCCGGGCCUUGUACACACCGCCCGUCACACCAUGGGAGUGGGUUGCAAAAGAAGUAGAUAGCUUAACCUUCGGGAGGGCGUUUACCACUUUGUGAUUCAUGACUGGGGUGAAGUCGUAACAAGGUAGGCGUAGCGAG